This 645-nucleotide unclassified non-coding RNA is filed under the name uncultured Prochlorococcus sp. RNAcentral describes it as "partial may contain 16S ribosomal RNA, 16S-23S ribosomal RNA intergenic spacer, and 23S ribosomal RNA". The stretch from base 285 to 357 matches the Rfam family "tRNA". The record is from RNAcentral. Lineage: Bacteria; Bacillati; Cyanobacteriota; Cyanophyceae; Synechococcales; Prochlorococcaceae.
GGUGGGGCUAAUGACUGGGGUGAAGUCGUAACAAGGUAGCCGUACCGGAAGGUGCGGCUGGAUCACCUCCUAACAGGGAGACAACAAAAUGUUAAAUAUUAAUUUUGUCACCUUAGGUCGAUCGGUACCUCAGAUUCUUAAUUUCUUUAAGAAUUUCAAUUCCUAAGUUUUUUCUAGGUCACACCCAUUAUUUUCCCUGGGCCAUUAGCUCAGGUGGUUAGAGCGCACCCCUGAUAAGGGUGAGGUCCCUGGUUCAAGUCCAGGAUGGCCCAUAUCUCUAUGUUGGGGGUAUAGCUCAGUUGGUAGAGCGCCUGCUUUGCAAGCAGGAUGUCAGCGGUUCGAGUCCGCUUACCUCCACUGAUCACCACCUCUUCCAUAGUUCAUAUUGGGAAAAUUAUUGUGAUGAUCUCUUAUUCUGAACGAAUCUAGCUUCCUAAUUAUUAUUUAUUAAGAUGCUGGACUCAUUGAAUUUUUUCAUUGUUUUCAGAGAACCUUGACAACUGCAUAGAUUAUUUUAAAGACAAUUAAGCAUCUAUAUAGAUGCAGAUUUAUUAUUUUUGCAAAUGCAUUAAUAACAAUUCUAUUGAGCUGAUGCUUCAAUUUUGAAGUUAUUGGUCAAGCUACAAAGGGCUCACGGAGGAUACC